RNAcentral lists this transfer RNA (69 nucleotides) under Megaloglossus azagnyi. RNAcentral describes it as "tRNA-Ala". It matches the Rfam family "tRNA". From Rfam's summary of the family: Transfer RNA (tRNA) molecules are approximately 80 nucleotides in length. Their secondary structure includes four short double-helical elements and three loops (D, anti-codon, and T loops). The record is from RNAcentral. Lineage: Eukaryota; Metazoa; Chordata; Mammalia; Chiroptera; Pteropodidae.
AAGGGCUUAGCUUAAUUAAAGUGAUUGAUUUGCGUUCAGUUGAUGUGGGAUUUAGGCCUGCAGUCCUUA